GUCCCCUUCGUCUAGAGGCCUAGGACACCGCCCUUUCCACGGCGGUAACAGGGGUUCGAAUCCCCUAGGGGACGCCA
RNAcentral lists this transfer RNA (77 nucleotides) under Edwardsiella tarda. RNAcentral describes it as "tRNA-???(ttcc)". It matches the Rfam family "tRNA". From Rfam's summary of the family: Transfer RNA (tRNA) molecules are approximately 80 nucleotides in length. Their secondary structure includes four short double-helical elements and three loops (D, anti-codon, and T loops). Further hydrogen bonds mediate the characteristic L-shaped molecular structure. tRNAs have two regions of fundamental functional importance: the anti-codon, which is responsible for specific mRNA codon recognition, and the 3' end, to which the tRNAs corresponding amino acid is attached (by aminoacyl-tRNA synthetases). tRNAs cope with the degeneracy of the genetic code in two manners: having more than one tRNA (with a specific anti-codon) for a particular amino acid; and 'wobble' base-pairing, i.e. permitting non-standard base-pairing at the 3rd anti-codon position. The record is from RNAcentral. Lineage: Bacteria; Pseudomonadati; Pseudomonadota; Gammaproteobacteria; Enterobacterales; Hafniaceae.